UCGCCGGCGUAAGCGUGGUUAAGUUUAAAAUUAAUACUAAAGCCGAACGAACACAAAGCUGUUAUACGCAUUCGAAACCAGAAGCCCAAUUACGAAAGUAGCUUUACAUUAACUGAACCCACGAAAGCUAGGGCACAAACUGGGAUUAGAUACCCCACUAUGCCUAGCCCUAAACAUCGAUAGGACAUUACACCCCCUAUCCGCCCGGGUACUACGAGCUCUAGCUUAAAACCCAAAGGACUUGGCGGUGCUUUAGAUCCACCUAGAGGAGCCUGUCCUAGAACCGAUAAUCCCCGUUUAACCUUACCUUUUCUUGCCAUCCCCGCCUAUAUACCGCCGUCGCCAGCUUACCCUUUGAAGGCCCUAUAGUAAGCAAAAUUAGUAUCAACUCUACACGUCAGGUCGAGGUGUAGCGUAUGGAAAGGAAAGAGAUGGGCUACAUUUACUGCCCCAGUAAAUACGAAUGAUCCAGUGAAACCCUGCAUCUGAAGGAGGAUUUAGUAGUAAGCAGAAAGCAGAGCGUUCUGCUGAAUUUGGCCCUGAAGCGCGCACACACCGCCCGUCACUCUCCCCCAAACAAAUUAUAAAACUUAAAUUAAACACAUCAAAACCAAGGGGAGGCAAGUCGUAACAUG
This 635-nucleotide ribosomal RNA is filed under the name Sacura boulengeri. Its description in RNAcentral is "partial small subunit ribosomal RNA". It matches the Rfam family "Bacterial small subunit ribosomal RNA", at positions 547 to 1495 of the family's 1533-position model. The record is from RNAcentral. Lineage: Eukaryota; Metazoa; Chordata; Actinopteri; Perciformes; Anthiadidae.